ACGGGAGGCAGCAGUGGGGAAUAUUGGGCAAUGGGGGAAACCCUGACCCAGCAACGCCGCGUGAAGGAAGAAGGCUUUCGGGUUGUAAACUUCUUUUAUCAGGGAAGAUAAUGACGGUACCUGAUGAAUAAGCCACGGCUAACUACGUGCCAGCAGCCGCGGUAAUACGUAGGUGGCAAGCGUUGUCCGGAUUUACUGGGUGUAAAGGGCGUGUAGGCGGGACAUCAAGUCAGAUGUGAAAGCACGAGGCUCAACUUCGUGUCUGCAUUUGAAACUGACGUUCUUGAGUGUUAGAGAGGCUAACGAAACUCCUAGUGUAGCGGUGAAAUGCGUAGAUAUUAGGAAGAACACCAGUGGCGAAGGCGGUUAGCUGGACAAUAACUGACGCUGAGGCGCGAAAGCGUGGGUAGCAAACAGGAUUAGAUACCCUGGUA
RNAcentral lists this ribosomal RNA (434 nucleotides) under uncultured Oscillospiraceae bacterium. RNAcentral's name for it is "bacterial SSU rRNA". It matches the Rfam family "Bacterial small subunit ribosomal RNA", at positions 341 to 792 of the family's 1533-position model. Lineage: Bacteria; Bacillati; Bacillota; Clostridia; Eubacteriales; Oscillospiraceae. The record is from RNAcentral.